UACGUAGGGGGCAAGCGUUGUCCGGAUUUAUUGGGUUUAAAGGGUGCGUAGGCGGCCUAAUAAGUCAGUGUGAAAUCUCCGAGCUUAACUCGGAAACUGCCGUUGAUACUAUUUGUCUUGAAUAUUGUGGAGGUAAGCGGAAUAUGCCAUGUAGCGGUGAAAUGCUUAGAUGUGACAUAGAACACCAAUUGCGAAGGCAGCUUACUACACAAUGAUUGACGCUGAGGCACGAAAGCGUGGGGAUCAAACAGG
RNAcentral lists this ribosomal RNA (252 nucleotides) under uncultured bacterium. RNAcentral's name for it is "partial 16S ribosomal RNA". It matches the Rfam family "Bacterial small subunit ribosomal RNA", at positions 524 to 776 of the family's 1533-position model. The record is from RNAcentral.